This 468-nucleotide ribosomal RNA is filed under the name uncultured bacterium. RNAcentral describes it as "partial 16S ribosomal RNA". It matches the Rfam family "Bacterial small subunit ribosomal RNA", at positions 28 to 507 of the family's 1533-position model. The record is from RNAcentral.
GACGAACGCUGGCGGCGUGCUUAACACAUGCAAGUCGAACGGAAAGGCCCUGCUUUUGUGGGGUGCUCGAGUGGCGAACGGGUGAGUAACACGUGAGUAACCUGCCCUUGACUUUGGGAUAACUUCAGGAAACUGGGGCUAAUACCGGAUAGGAGCUCCUGCUGCAUGGUGGGGGUUGGAUAGUUUCGGCGGUUGGGGCUGGAUUCGCGGCUUAUCAGCUUGUUGGUGGGGUAGUGGAUUACCAAGGCUUUGACGGGUAGCCGGCCUGGGAGGGUGACCGGCCACAUUGGGACUGAGGUACGGCCCAGACUCCUACGGGAGGCAGCGGUGGGAAAUAUUGCACAAUGGGCGGAAGCCUGAUGCAGCAACGUCGCGUGCGGGAUGACGGCCUUCGGGUUAUAAACCGCUUUCGCCUGUGACGAAGCGUGAGUGACGGUAAUGGGUAAAGAAGCACCGGCUAACUACGUG